GUGCCAGCCGCCGCGGUAAUACGGAGGGUCCAAGCGUUAUCCGGAUUUAUUGGGUUUAAAGGGUACGUAGGCGGAGCUUUAAGUCAGUAGUGAAAGCCCAUUGCUUAACAAUGGAACUGCUAUUGAUACUGGAGUUCUUGGAUAUAGUUGAAGUAGGCGGAAUACGGCAUGUAGCGGUGAAAUGCAUAGAUAUGCCGUGGAACACCAAUCGCGAAGGCAGCUUACUAAGCUAUGAUUGACGCUAAUGUACGAAAGCGUGGGGAGCGAACAGGAUUAGAAACCCGAGUAGUCC
RNAcentral lists this ribosomal RNA (292 nucleotides) under uncultured bacterium. RNAcentral's name for it is "partial 16S ribosomal RNA". It matches the Rfam family "Bacterial small subunit ribosomal RNA", at positions 505 to 796 of the family's 1533-position model. The record is from RNAcentral.